Molecule: ribosomal RNA, 544 nt
Filed under: uncultured fungus
Lineage: Eukaryota; Fungi
Description: eukaryotic LSU rRNA
Rfam family: 5.8S ribosomal RNA (bases 174-327)
Source: RNAcentral
UCCGUAGGUGAACCUGCGGAAGGAUCAUUACCUAGAGUUUGCAGACUUCGGUCUGCUACCCCUUACCCAUGUCUUUUGAGUACCUUCGUUUCCUCGGCGGGUCCGCCCGCCGAUUGGACAACAUUCAAACCCUUUGCAGUUGCAAUCAGCGUCUGAAAAAACAUAAUAGUUACAACUUUCAACAACGGAUCUCUUGGUUCUGGCAUCGAUGAAGAACGCAGUGAAAUGCGAUAAGUAGUGUGAAUUGCAGAAUUCAGUGAAUCAUCGAAUCUUUGAACGCACAUUGCGCCCCUUGGUAUUCCAUGGGGCAUGCCUGUUCGAGCGUCAUUUGUACCUUCAAGCUCUGCUUGGUGUUGGGUGUUUUGUCUCGCCUCCGCGUGUAGACUCGCCUUAAAACAAUUGGCAGCCGGCGUAUUGAUUUCGGAGCGCAGUACAUCUCGCGCUUUGCACUCAUAACGACGACGUCCAAAAGUACAUUUUUACACUCUUGACCUCGGAUCAGGUAGGGAUACCCGCUGAACUUAAGCAUAUCAAUAAGCGGAGG